This 557-nucleotide ribosomal RNA is filed under the name uncultured bacterium. RNAcentral describes it as "bacterial SSU rRNA". It matches the Rfam family "Bacterial small subunit ribosomal RNA", at positions 102 to 694 of the family's 1533-position model. The record is from RNAcentral.
ACGGGUGCGUAACGCGUGGGAAUCUGCCCUUGGGUUCGGGAUAACAGUUGGAAACGACUGCUAAUACCGGAUGAUAUCUUCGGAUCAAAGAUUUAUCGCCCAGGGAUGAGCCCGCGUAGGAUUAGCUUGUUGGUGAGGUAAAAGCUCACCAAGGCGACGAUCCUUAGCUGGUCUGAGAGGAUGAUCAGCCACACUGGGACUGAGACACGGCCCAGACUCCUACGGGAGGCAGCAGUGGGGAAUAUUGGACAAUGGGCGAAAGCCUGAUCCAGCAAUGCCGCGUGAGUGAUGAAGGCCUUAGGGUUGUAAAGCUCUUUUACCCGGGAUGAUAAUGACAGUACCGGGAGAAUAAGCCCCGGCUAACUCCGUGCCAGCAGCCGCGGUAAUACGGAGGGGGCUAGCGUUGUUCGGAAUUACUGGGCGUAAAGCGCGCGUAGGCGGCUUUGUAAGUUAGAGGUGAAAGCCCGGAGCUCAACUCCGGAAUUGCCUUUAAGACUGCAUCGCUAGAAUCAUGGAGAGGUGAGUGGAAUUCCGAGUGUAGAGGUGAAAUUCGUAGA